CAAAUCCCAAAUCCCCCAUUCCCAAAUCCCGAUCCCAUUCCCCAAUCCCAAUCCCAUUCCCCAAUCCCAACUCCCCCAUUCCCCCAUUCCCAAAUCCUGAUCCCAUUCCCCAAUCCCAAAUCCCAACUCCCCCAUUCCGGGCCCCGUUUGGGAUCCGAGCCGGAUCUGGGAGCCAGAUCCGGGAGCCCCGGGAGCCUCCGGAGCCGCAGGAAGCGCCGGGGACCCAAAUCCCGAUCCCAUUCCCAAAUCCCAACUCCCAUUCCCAAAUCCCAAAUCGCAUUCCCAAAUCCCCAUUCCCACAUCCCAUUCCCAAAUCCCAAUCCCAACUCCCAACUCCCCCAUUCCGGGCCCCGUUUGGGAUCUGGGAGCCGGAUCCGGGAGCCAGAGCCGGGAGCCGCCGGAGCCGCAGGAAGCGCCGGGGACCCAAAUCCCGAUCCCAUUCCCAAAUCCCAAUCCCAACUCCCCCAUUCCCAAAUCCCAACUCCCAUUCCCAAAUCCCCCAUUCCCAAAUCCUGAUCCCAUUCCCCAAUCCCAAUCCCAACUCCCCCAUUCCGGCCCUGUUUGGGAUCCGAGCCCGGAUCCGGGAGCCAGAGCCGGGAGCCAGAUCCGGGAGCCCCGGGAGCCUCCGGAGCCGCAGGAAGCGCUGGGGACCCAAAUCCCAAUCCCAUUCCCAAAUCCCAAUUCUAAAUCCCCCAUUCCCGAAUCCCGAUCCCAUUCCCCAAUCCCAACUCCCCCAUUCCGGGCCCCGUUUGGGAUCCGAGCCCGGAUCCGGGAGCCAGAUCCAGGAGCCAGAGCCGGGAGCCAGAUCCGGGAGCCCUGGGAGCCUCCGGAGCCGCAGGAAGUGCCGGGGACCCAAAUCCCAAAUCCCAAAUCCCCCAUUCCCAAAUCCCGAUCCCAUUCCCAAAUCCCCCAUUCCCAAAUCCCAUUCCCAAAUCCCAUUCCCCAAUCCCAACUUGCCCAUUCCGGGCCCCGUUUGGGAUCCGAGCCGGAUCCGGGAGCCAGAGCCGGGAGCCCCGGGAGCCUCCGGAGCCGCCGGAGCCGCAGGAAGCGCCGGGGACCCAAAUCCCGAUCCCA
Molecule: long non-coding RNA, 1074 nt
Filed under: Parus major (Great Tit)
Lineage: Eukaryota; Metazoa; Chordata; Aves; Passeriformes; Paridae
Description: lncRNA (ENSPMJG00000002403.1)
Source: RNAcentral